UACGUAGGGUGCAAGCGUUGUCCGGAAUUAUUGGGCGUAAAGAGCUCGUAGGCGGUCUGUCGCGUCUGCUGUGAAAACUCAGGGCUUAACCCUGAGCUUGCAGUGGGUACGGGCAAACUAGAGUGCGGUAGGGGAGACUGGAAUUCCUGGUGUAGCGGUGAAAUGCGCAGAUAUCUGGAGGAACACCGGUGGCGAAGGCGGCAUCCUGGACCAACACUGACACUGAGGAGCGAAAGCCAGGGGAGCAAACGGG
RNAcentral lists this ribosomal RNA (253 nucleotides) under uncultured bacterium. RNAcentral describes it as "partial 16S ribosomal RNA". It matches the Rfam family "Bacterial small subunit ribosomal RNA", at positions 524 to 776 of the family's 1533-position model. The record is from RNAcentral.